GCUCGGAUGGCGGAAUUGGUAGACGCGCACGACUCAAACUCGUGUUCCUCCGGAGUGUGGGUUCGAUUCCCACUCCGAGUA
Molecule: transfer RNA, 81 nt
Filed under: Algoriella xinjiangensis
Lineage: Bacteria; Pseudomonadati; Bacteroidota; Flavobacteriia; Flavobacteriales; Weeksellaceae
Also listed under: 1 other name
Description: tRNA_Leu_CAA
Rfam family: tRNA
About the family: Transfer RNA (tRNA) molecules are approximately 80 nucleotides in length. Their secondary structure includes four short double-helical elements and three loops (D, anti-codon, and T loops).
Source: RNAcentral